UAUACACUAAACAUGGCGUUAUGUCCAUCAAGAAAAAAAAACAUGAUCAUAUGUUUACACAGAUACUAUAGUUGCUAAAAGAAAUGUUGGUACAAAUAGGUUGGCCCCAACUAAGCCUACCAUAAACAGAGCUACUCCCUCCGUCCCAUACAUACAGGGGAGCUACAUGUAUUACUUGGGGUGCCGCUGCCCCCCGGCCAUUGCUAAUUAGUGAAGGAAAUUUCUUCGUGAAGGCUCAAAUUUAGUAGAGUGCACUCAUUUGGCCCCCUCAAAGUUGCAUAUUUUCUAUUUGCCCCCCUGAGAUCCUUCAUUAGCUCCGUCAUUGGUACCGUAUCAUAGUGUCAAAAAAUAUCUUACAUUAUGAGGGAGUAGUAUAUCGUUGGACUGUAGGCAGGGUCUUCUGGACAGCACAACCAUCACAGCACAGAUCUAGCCUGGGGAAUUUUCCAUUUUGGUACCUGGUCUUUACAAUUUUCAUGAGCGUAGCGUGGCCAUUCCUGAGGUAGCAUUCGGUGUAGAAGACGACAGCAGCUACGGCAACGGCUUUAAUGCAGUCUUGUUCCUUUGCCAUGACGAGGAAAGAAAAAAGGAAGAAACAGAUCAAACACUGGUCCCAUACGUCUCUGUGAUCACAUCACAUCACUCAAAGAAAGAAAAGAAAAAAGAUACUAACUCCUAAGUGAGGCCAAAAACGUUAAAACUAAUUGCCGUGUUGCUACAGCAGUACAGCUAAAUAUAAAAAAGAUUACUCCUAAGUGAGGCAGUUGACUGAAGAGUUAACGCUACUGCCUUCCCUAGUUAACCAACUUUCUUAAGAACAACAAUACGAAAAUAGAACAGCAUUGAUCAACUAAGCAUAAUUAGAGUUGCGUUAUUUUUAGUGGUUGGCGGAUUCAAAUAUAUAUAAACAAAUAAAUAUGGAUUGUAUCCCUUGGGGCCUUGGGGGUAUGAAUGUUGAUUAUGCACUGGCAGUAAUCUACACAUUUUUGUGGAAACUCUGAAAAGUGUUCUGUCACUAACUACCUCGAGCAGUUUAGCCAAGAUUCGUUUUGACAGCAUCUGAUAGCCUAAGCAGAUUUUUACCUUGCUAGUUGAUUUCUCAUGAGAUGAACAGCACGCGCCAGCAUUUCCUACACAGUAGAGCGAGCCUGAGAACGCCCCUAACACAGCCAAAGUAAUCCACGAUUACCUGCACAGAAGGUUGGAAACUGUAACGCCAAACGACAAGCAGAUAGAUUUCUUUGCAAGUCACAACACCCCAUAGAAAGGAAAACGACCAGGUAUGCCUGACAACAGAUAGAGAAAAUAAAGAGUGCACCAAUAGUCCUUGGGGCUAGCAAGUUGAUAGUGUACAUCAACCUAGUAUAAUUUGACCAAAACAAUCUAACAACGAAUGGAGAUCAAAGCACAUCUCCAGCCCCUGCAUCCAAAGCGACAGUGCAUGUUUUCAUGCAGUUUAACAUCUCUAUAGUAUCACAUAUGUAUCUUUAAAUCCAGAAGUUCCAUUUAAUAUGGAUACUGUUCGGCAAGUCACAUUUGAAAUCAUAGUUCUAAAAUUGUUUGUUGUGCAGGAAUUGGCAACAUCUUCACACAUGUGUACCACAAGGAAAAAACCUAUCAAAAUUAUAAAUGGAGCAAGCGGGACAAUUCGUCCAUCACGGUAAGCAGCUCUACUUUUUACUAAAUCGAUAAUGGUUGAUACUGUUUAUCUCAGAGUAAGUGUUCCACUGAAAAACAUGUAACGCUCCAUAUCAGGAGUUCAUCAUUCAUUAAUUUAUUAUUCACCUAACAUGCUGAAUCUUUGUGAUCCCGUUACAUAAUCAGGAUGACACUUCUUCUAGGAGCACCUGGUUCUGGGAAAACUACUUUUUUAAAAGCAUUGGCAGGAAAGUUGGAUUCUUCUUUGAAGGUACACUGAGUUAUCUACUUGCCACCGAAACCACUUACUAACAAGACAAUCAUUGAUUAACCAGCAUUGUUUUUUUCUUGAUAUCACAUCUCUUAAUAGCUCAAAGGAAAGGUCAUGUACAAUGGAGAAGAAGUGAAUUCCUCAACACCUCAAUACCUGCAUGCCUACAUUAGCCAGUAUGAUCUUCAUCAUGCUGAGAUGACCGUCAGAGAGACGAUUGAUUUCUCUUCCAAGAUGUUGGGAACCAAUAAUGAAUUUGGUGAGACACCCUCUUGGGUAUGGGGAUAUAGCUUUAGUUCCCGUGUAUAUGAAUGAGCUAAUUUAUAACCAAACCCAGACACUGAAAAUUAAGAAGCACUCCUUUCAAGGUUUUUUUCCCUUUGCAUGACAUAAAUACUAAUGCAAAAUUCCUGUUUGAAAUGGUCGCCUUAGAGAUGCUGGGAGAAGCAAUAAGAAGGAAAAAGGGUGUCAUCAACAAAGUGGACCAAGAUCUUGACUCGUUUAUUAAGGUUACUAAGUUUAUUUUCCGCCAAUUUUGGUAAAACUGGAAUCCAGUUCCCCCAAUUGCUUAAAUCUGUUUUCUGCAGGCUACCACCUUCGGAGAAGGAAGCAACCUUACAACAAACUAUAUUAUCAAGGUAAAUUCGUAACUUUUCAAUUUAUACAUUUGUCUUCAUAACAUAAUCACAAACUUUGUGCAAAUGCAGAUACUUGGUUUGUCCGAGUGUGCAGAUACCCUAGUGGGGGAUGAGAUGAGAAGAGGCAUAUCAGGAGGACAAAAAAAGAGAGCCACGAUUGGUAAGGAUUCUAUAGUGUUUACUAUGUAUCUUGUUCCUCUUAUCACCCUCUGUUCCCACUUUAUAGAGUGCAUUUUCUAAUGCGACCUUAUUUCAUAAUAAAAAAAAGGGUUUAUGUUAUAGUCCUUGGCCCAAUAAAAAAUUUAUCACCUCAACAACUUAUAUUUUGUACAGUAUUGCUUGAUGAAACAAAGAUCCUAGUUAAACCCACAAUGAAAAGAUUGUAAAGUAACAAAAUGUCAAAAUGACACCAUAAUUUCUUGACAUGUUCGAUUAAAUGGACUAUGAAAACAGUAUGCGUGUACUUUUGUAGUGAGCCGGUCACGAUAUUACAGAAUGCUCUCUUCCUGCUGAACUCUCUAUUGUUCUCCAGAAAAAAUAAUUUGAGGAUGAUAUUUAUUCUACUGAAUAAGGGCAACUCUGAAUAUGUCAGAUGUAACUAAAAAUUAUGUAGAUUGCUGGAAGGUACCCACACUGCAAUGUGCUGCAUUUAUAAUAUAUAUUUUCCAUGGCCUAUUCUGCUUACGAAUAUGUCAGAUGUAACUAGAAAUUAAGUAGAUUGCUGGAAGGUACCCACACUGCAAUGUGCUGCAUUUAUAAUAUAUAUUUUCCAUAGCCUAUUCUGCUUACGAAUAUGCCAGUUAUACAGACGAUGGUGCCAGUACCAAAGUUAACAACUAUAAAUAUUGACGAUGUAAUCAACAGUGGUUUUCUUUUAUCAAUUUGUCAUUGUUGCUAUAUUUUUAAGAUGAAUUCACUAAUGCAGGAGAGAUGCUAGUUGGUCUAGCAAGAUGCUUCUUUAUGGAUGACAUAUCAACAGGUCUAGAUAGCUCCACCACAUACGAGAUCGUAAAGUUUCUCCAACAAAUGGCUCAUCUGAUGGAUCUCACUGUGGUUAUUUCCUUGCUUCAACCACCUCCUGAGACGUUGGAAUUAUUUGACGACAUAAUCCUUUUAUGCGAGGGGCAAAUUGUAUAUCAUGGUCCUCGAGAAAAUGCUACUGGUUUCUUUGAAAUUAUGGGAUUCAAAUGCCCCAGCAGGAAGAAUGUAGCUGAUUUCCUUCAAGAGGUACUAGAUUAUAAACUCUAAUAAGAGGGAACUACUGAAUAAAUCUAUAUUGCUAACUUAAGGGCAACCAGUCAAUAAAUAUCAGAAAGUAACAAUGUAGCAUGCAGUACAUGAGUUGCAAUUCCAUCCACAAAAUUCACUAUUAUGUUAUAUGUACUUGUUCGUGCAUAAUAAUGCAAGUAACUGACAGCAACUUUUCUUCAUUUGACCAGGUAACCUCGAAGAUGGAUCAAAAGCAAUACUGGAUUGGUGAUGAAAAUAAGUAUCAAUACCGGUCAAUCGAAAAAUUUGCAGAAUCUUUUCGUUCAUCCUAUCUCCCACAACCUGCGAAAGACGAUCUCUGCAAGACAAACAAUACAGGAAAGAGAAAGGAGAUUAUAACAAGUGCAACUCGCAGGAUCUCUAGAUGGAAUAUUUUCAAGGCAUGCUUUUCAAGGGAAGUAUUGCUUCUUAAAAGAAACUCCCCACUUCAUAUAUUUAAGACUGUACAGAUAACUGUUAUGGCUUUGGUGAUCUCAACGGUUUUCCUUCGAACAAAUAUGAACCAUAAAACUGUACUCGAUGCCAAUAAGUACAUGGGAUCACUCUUUAUGGCUGUUGUGAUAGUAAACUUCAAUGGCAUGACUGAAAUUGGAAUGACAAUAAAGCGACUCCCCACUUUCUACAAGCAAAGAGAGUUACUAGCAUUGCCAGGAUGGGCACUUCUUUCUUCGGUAUUCCUUAUCAGCCUCCCAAUGUCACUUCUAGAGACAGGUCUGUGGACCAGCUUAACCUACUAUGUGAUUGGCUACGCACCUUCCUUUCUCAGGUACCCCUCCUAGUCAAUUCAAUAUCUAAUGAGCAAAAUAUUUGAAUAAGCUGGAAUAACAGAACGAGUUACCUUGCUUCUUGCAGAUUCAUCCAGCAGUUUUUGGUACUUUUUGCCAUGCAUCAAAUGUCAAUGGGCCUCUAUCGUUUCUUAGCGGCAAUAGGAAGGACGCAAGUAAUGGCCAACAUGCUAGGCACUGCAGCUCUCAUAGCAAUCUACAUAUUUGGAGGCUUUGUCAUAUCAAAAGGUUAGAUGUUUUAGCUCAGAAUAACGUAAGAUGUAUGAGUACUUGUGCAACGAAGAUGCUUAACAGUUUUGUACAUUGAAACAGAUAACCUCCAACCAUGGUUGCAGUGGGGAUACUGGACAUCCCCAUUCACCUAUGCACAGAAUGCUGUUGCCCUAAAUGAGUUCCUUGAUGAAAGAUGGGCUAUUGUAAGCAAUUGUUUCAACUAACAUUCUUGAUCCAAUGUACAUAACCCGUGCAAUUAGUUAUGACCUGAUGAUGAUUUUUCAUGCUGACAGGAAUUUUACUAUGCAAAUGCUAAAACAGUUGGUGAAGCUAUCCUCAAGAUCAGGGGGUUGCUCACAGAGUGGCAUUGGUACUGGAUUUGUGUCGGCAUUUUAUUUGGAUUCUCGCUGGUCCUCAACAUCCUCACUAUAUUUGCA
This 5251-nucleotide long non-coding RNA is filed under the name Triticum aestivum (bread wheat). RNAcentral describes it as "long non-coding RNA (TAES_LNC014619)". The record is from RNAcentral. Lineage: Eukaryota; Viridiplantae; Streptophyta; Magnoliopsida; Poales; Poaceae.